UACGUAGGAUGCAAGCGUUGUCCGGAUUUACUGGGCGUAAAGCGCGCGCAGGCGGCACUCUAAGUACGUCGUGAAAUCUCCUUGCUCAACGGGGAGGGUGCGAAGUAGACUAGGGAGCUAGAGGUCGGUAGAGGGGGGUGGAAUUGCUGGUGUAGCGGUGAAAUGCGUAGAGAUCAGCAGGAACACCCGUGGCGAAGGCGGCCCCCUGGGCCGUACCUGACGCUGAGGCGCGAAGGCUAGGGGAGCGAACGGG
Molecule: ribosomal RNA, 253 nt
Filed under: uncultured bacterium
Lineage: Bacteria
Description: partial 16S ribosomal RNA
Rfam family: Bacterial small subunit ribosomal RNA
Source: RNAcentral